UCAAAUCAUUGCAGUGGAUGAUGUACAACAACAAAGCUGUUUGAAUGAAGAAGAGAUCACCAGAAAAUAAAACAUGUUCAUGGAUUUCGAAGAAUAUGCUAAAAAGGAAGAAAUCGGUUGAAGGUAAAGAUCCAGGCUAUUGUGGGAAAACAAGAAGACAUGAGUACUAAGUUCUUCCGAAGAAUAGUCAAUGCACAUAAGAGAAACAAUAACAUUGACAAGUUGAUGGUGGAAGGAGAGAUAAUUGAAGAGCAUGGUAAAAUUAAAAGAGAGAUCAUUGCCUUUUAUCAGAGAUAAUAUUCUAUAACUGAGGAAUGGAGACCUUCAUGUAGCAUGAUGAUUGAGCAGAAGAUGUUAACCAUUUAUUUCUCCAUUGCAACUUCUCCUGACAGAUUUGGCAUCUCUUUUUUAAUGUUCUGGAAUCCAAUGGUGUAUGCCUAAAGAUGGAGUAAUUUUUAUUACAGAUAAAUUAUAACAGAUGGAGUAAUUUUUUAUUAAGAGAUAAAAUUAUAAACUUGAGAAAACAAACAGUCUUAAUCGUUGUAUAAAUACAACAUCUUAGUUUUUAGAUGUGUUCUUAGAUUCAGACAUCUUAAUCUUUAAAAACUAGCCCCUGUGCGUACAUCGCUACGGAAACCAAUCCAUUAAAUCUUAAACUUGCUUUAUCAAAAUUCAUCAUUGAAUUGUGCUGUAUCCUCGGUUGGUUAAUGUCCUGCAGAUCUUUGCCUUCUGCUUUAUACAAUGUCAUGCAGCUGAGUGAUAGACUUAUAACUUAUCUAUUUGGCUCCACCUCCCUGAAAGUGAUGUCAACUUCUAGAUUUAUCGCAUAAACAGGAUACUGAAAGAUGAGAGAGUAUUGAAGUAAUUAAUAUCAAUUCAUGAACACACCAAUCGUAGUGAUUGCUCUGUGAAUUAGAGACAUCCUGGUUGAAUGAUAUAACUAUUUUAAUCACCCCAAAGCACAGAGGACAUAUGGUUCUCCCUUGAAACCCCAAGAUGCUGAGAAGUGAGAUGACUUUCCUUUAUCAAUUAACAUACAAAGCUUUGCAUUUUGACAUCGAGUUAUAGAGCUCAGUACUUAAAAGAGGAACAAGCCUAAAUUUUUUUUUUGGAGAUUUGGCAUAUAGACUAGUUAAACCGAAGAAGUUGUGGGUAUUGAAACCUAAGAAUUUGUAAGGGCAUGUCAAACUCCAAGCUGAUGAAAGCUCUACAUGUUAAGGAGGGUAUGGAAGAUUAGAGAAAAUCUGAACAUUGGGUGCAAGCCUAUGCCGUGGAAAAAGUCCAAAGAUAUGGAUCCUGAGCACGGCAGCCAAAAUAAUGGAAGCAGGAGUAGCUACUGUAUUCAAAAGUUUAAAUUUCAGCAAAACGUCUGAAGUAAUUAAUGGUUAAUGUUAUUUAACAUUUCAAGAACAAAACUAAUCAACUGAUAUGGAUUACACUAAGAGUUCCUCACACAACUCUGGAAGCUCGCGAGGAAAAUAAUUGAAAGCCCAUGAAAAUCAGGAGAAGGCGUAGUAGGCCUUAAGAUAAAUGUGCAGCACUGGGAUGCCUGCUUGAUGAGUUUUGAGGCACAACAUUCAGAAAGAAACAUUUCGCAAGGGCAGAGUCAAACAAGGUGAGACUGAACUUUGAUGGCUGGAAGGGAUCUGUCUUUAAUUGCAGGGUGAACUACGGGAGAAAGGGUGGAUUCAUUGUCUAUGAGGUUGGCUUCAUAUUUGAAUUGUGUGCCAAGCCGCGAUUCAUUUGGAAAUUUCAGCAGCAUGAUAGUAGGACUUAGGCUCCGAAGACUUUUGCAUUGUGGUAGAUGGCCAAAUUCAGGCGAAUGUGAGACCUUGCCCCGUGACUACGAAUUUUUAAAGCAAUCCUGGACUCUACAAGAUGGGCUACUGGGACUUAUCUUGUAAAAGCAUCCUAGAAAGAUGGGUUGACAGAGAGUGAAAUGUCUUUUUUUGGCACUUCGAUAUCAAUUGAACUUACAUUUCAUAUUUGCAGGAGAUUUCUCAAUUUUUUUAAAAUCAAUUACAGGUCAUCUUUUACAUCAGAAAGGUAAAGGACUUAGUGCUCUGAUAACCAUGCUAAUGUGUUGUAUUAUGGUUGCAGGCACAAUCUCCGAACUACACAAGUACUUUGAGACAAAUAUUCCCAAAUAUUGAGCAGAUUGAUUCUGAAGUCUACGCGUAGGUGCUUGGAUGUGGAUCUUAUGCAUAGUUGACGCAAGAACCCCGCGAAUAAUCCGCUUUUGUCAGUUUUAUAUUAUCUGUAAGGUCCAGCUGAUGAGAUGCUGUAAAACCUGUUAUGGCAUUAUUUCCAGCUUCUCCAUCAUUUCAGGAUGCCGAAGUCCUGAAAAGAUGAAAAUACAGGUAGCUGCUACGUCAUUACUGAUGAUGCAAUGACAUUUGCUUGUUGGUUUUUCCGUCUCUGAAGAUAUUUAUUUUGUUUGUCCUCGGACCACAAAGGAGUUCCAAUAUUGUACUUAUCUUUCUCCUCCAAAUUGGAAAUGUCGCUUUUUGGUGUGCUUUGUUGUGAACUGAAAGCACCAUACACUCGUAUAUCAACAGGGAAGCUAUAAGGGAAAAAUGUGAAAAUUGGAAUUUUACUGUCAAAUCAAAAUUUUGAAAAUUU
Lycium ferocissimum is the source of this 2622-nucleotide long non-coding RNA. RefSeq lists it as uncharacterized. Lineage: Eukaryota; Viridiplantae; Streptophyta; Magnoliopsida; Solanales; Solanaceae. The transcript has 2 exons. The record is from RefSeq and is a predicted model, not a curated record.